Molecule: ribosomal RNA, 410 nt
Filed under: Montanomelon reynoldsi
Lineage: Eukaryota; Metazoa; Mollusca; Gastropoda; Stylommatophora; Camaenidae
Description: partial 16S ribosomal RNA
Rfam family: Bacterial large subunit ribosomal RNA
Source: RNAcentral
CAAAAACAUAGCUAUUAGAAGUAUUAGUAGUUUUUUCUGCUCAAUGAAUUUUUAAAUAGCCGCAGUACCCUGACUGUGCAAAGGUAGCAUAAUCAGUUGGCUUAUAAUUGAAGUCUAGAAUGAAUGAAUGAAUGUGUAAAUAACUGUAUCAUAAAUAUAACAUAAAAUUACUCAGAUAGUGAAAAUACUAUCAUCUAAAUAAUAGACGAGAAGACCCUAGAAAUUUUUACAAACUGUAAAUUAUGGUUUUUGUUGGGGCAACAGUGUAUCMAAAUAUACAGUAUAGACAUGAAAUUUUUUUGAUAGAUUAAAUUACUCUAGGGAUAACAGCGUAAUACGGAAGUGUUUGCGACCUCGAUGUUGGAUUAGGAAGCCAAAUGUUUAGAAGACUGUUGUSAUGCUCUGUUCGA